Molecule: ribosomal RNA, 3291 nt
Filed under: Triticum aestivum (bread wheat)
Lineage: Eukaryota; Viridiplantae; Streptophyta; Magnoliopsida; Poales; Poaceae
Description: partial small subunit ribosomal RNA
Source: RNAcentral
CAUGACAUAGACAUAUCUUCUUCGUCCCGCCCUCCGGCUCUUUAGUACAGGCGGGAAAGGUAGGAGGUGUCCCGAACGGAGGCUGAGCGGGACGAGGGCGAGGGCGAGGGCGGAGACGCGCGAGGGGAAGCGAGGAGAUCAGAAGGCGCCGGCGAGGCGGACGGAGCGGCCCGGCGGUACUCGAGGCGGCGGAGGUCCUACAGGGUGUAGCGGCGGCGGCGUCGGAGGCCCCUCAGGUUAGUCGGCCGCCGCCGCCCCCGCCGACGCAGGCCGAACCCGGUCCUUCUGCUGCUAGAAAGUAACCCGAUGGCGGAAGGGGGGUUUCUUUAUGUCCUGUAUCAACUACGUGGUGGUGAAGGACAAAACAGCAAGAGUGGUUCGUUUCUGUUCUAAGAUAAAGAGUUUGCAGCUCGCGAAGGUGGUGAUAGACUAGAGCGUUUCGGACUCCUCUUUGAACGACCACACUCCUAACUACCGGUAAGAUUAUGAUCUUCAGCUUACAGAAGGAUGUGACCUUAUCCAUAGGUAUUCGAUUACCUACUACCUUGAAACCCGGGUCUCUUCCUCCAGGUACCUAUGGGACUUCCUCGUUUCUAAUUAAAACAAUGGACCAGUGUACUGCCAGCAUUAGAUAGUAAGUCACAAGCUCAACUUCUCCUCCUGUUGUUUUAGUCGUUCGAUUCCCAUACCUAACGCCUGUACCUUAGACCUCUUCGUGCCGGUGAAAAAUUUAGAGGACUAUAUAUGAACUUACGAUAAAAACUGUCGAAACAUACCCAACUAUUGAGAUGAAACAAUCAGACGUGAUAGGGACAUAGUGCACCUCGAGAUGGUGUCUUCGGUAGUCAAGGUAGACCAGGUUUUUAAGUCAGAUUACUCUGUUUCUUACACCAGGUUCACUCUUGUAAGGUCCUAGAAGACUUUCUACUUAUACUACGACUAAAUAAACUAAUGAUACGUUGGAGUGUCGAGUACAACCAGAGAAACCUACCUUGACACUUCGGUUACCCCGGAGGAUAUGUGUAGGUAACUAGGUAGUGGUCUACUGUUUAUAAACUACGAAAGAAGAUAGGUGGCAGGUAUAAGGAUAUAACAUGGGACACCUUCCAAAGGUUUCUCUCAACUUAAUACCUGACGUCUACCAUUCAAAUAAUCCCUUGAAACACUGAACGGGGAACGUCUCCUGUAUGGUUAACGCUGCUCGUCGCACGCGUUCCCUUUUGCAAGUUAGAUAACCUCCGGUCUGUUUGGAAGUUGAAACAUAACCCACCUCUGUGUUCUACCACCUCUACGUUUCCAACUUCAAAGUGGUGCACUGUAUCAAAUGUACCUUUUACGACUCGGGUAUUUACCGCUUGUUGGUCUUUAGGAUGUAUUUGAACUGGAGGCUAUACCUCCUUAGAGAACCACACUACUUAGAGAACGAAACCACAUACUUAGUACCAUGUUUUGAGCCUUUUGUUCUUGUACCCACCAACGAGGUCUGUUCUUUCUACAGUCAGGCGCGUAAAAUAAACUGUCUAGAAGUCUUCUACACAUGAGACUAGGACCGAGUGGUUACGACGCUUCUUGACGGUACCCUUGUAUACAAUAACGUUUCCAAUUAUUUGUUCUACUUUCAUGAAUGGAGAACGACUUACCUUACCCACGGUGUGGUCUUCCUUUGCAAGGUAAGGAACUGAACAAACUAUAUUUAUGACCUUCAUUUCUCGCUUAUACCCUUUCACUGUUCCUUUUUAUGAAACUUUGACAACAACGGAACUACAGUCUGUUUUAACUACCCCUGGAAGGGGAACUAGUCAAUUUCUAUGAAUGUAGUUUUCUUAGUUUUUGUCUUUUAUGUGUUAUAAUGGAUGUUUAAACCGGUCUUUUCUUCGUUCAUGUCUAAUGUUUAAAAGGGGUGGGUAUGGGGGUCGAACGAAGUAACAUAUUCCUUUACUAUUCCAUGGUCGCGUUUCUACCCCAAGUUGAAUGUCGUUUCAACAUAGAUGGAGGUCCAAUACUAGUUAGUUUUCUACCUGGAAACGGUACAAAUCAAACCAGUAUGGGACCACUCAAAUUUUCGUUUCUACGACGUCCUGUUCAUGCACCAAGGGGAUUACUCAAAAGUCCCUAACCACGAUGUAGAGGAGAAGAAACCAACCGAUCUCCCAAACGAUAAGAAAGUCCAGGCUGUUAGGGCUAACAACCACUUCCACUACAUCUCCGUUUGCUGUCAAUACACCUUGUUGAUCAUUGAUCACGUCUCCGACGGCAGCUCCUUCAACAGUCCUCUCCCCACCAGGUAGGACUAUUUUAUCGACAACCGCCAGUAAGUAUACCACGUAAGUACUGUCGUUUAGAGAAUCGAGUACGAGGAGUAGAAAAGACGACACCUUAACGAGCAAGACCUCGAAUGUUGUCCUGCAAUUGAGGUAAACCCAAAGUCUUACUCCUGUCUUGUGAAACCCUCCGUUGAUUGUGGAUACACCUCUACUCGGGAAAGUACAGCCGAUUGUUUUAGUUCUCUGGUUAUAAUGAAUAAGUACCCCUCGUUCUGUUGUUAAGACCUUGUGACUGUUACGUCAGCCUGGCUAAGAAGUUACGCAACUUCCCAGUGCCACAUGUCAGAGCAAACCAUUAUGAAGGAAAACUUUCGGUACCCAUGAGACGGUCCCUCUCGUAAUACGUGCACGAAACCCUCAGACUGUCCACCGACGUCUUCAUGACACAUUUGCCGUGAUCGUUCCGACUAAGUCUCUGUCGUCGACUACCUCUUUCAUUUUGUAACCGUCGGUCACCACCACCUCGUCGUAGACUUCCACAUUCGAGGCUCCCUAAGAGUAGUUAGGGUGCUAGCGAAGACACUAGUUGAUGACAAUUUUACAUGCCCUUUAUUUUAGUAGAGACCUGUCGUACGUGUCCGGUUUUCCUUUUAUUUUACACGACGGCUUGAACAUACUUGGCCACGAAGAAGGUCCGAAUUCUGACCUACCGGUAACAUAAAACUGACGUAAAGGCGUCUUCCACUAACAAGGUGUCUAACCACCCCCAAUUCCUUUCGAAGUGUAACAGCCUAAAACGCGGGACCGACUUAAGAGUUGACAUUAAGACAACCACCCCUGCGGGUUCUAUGACAUUAAAACAUGGGUGUGAAUCGCUGUUACAUGUCCACAUCUGAUCACGCAUGGUAAUGGUUUUGUCAGCGACGCACGUCACAAGAUAACAAACUGACGCCUUUAUUUAAAUACUACCUCUUGUCGAAUUAUACAACCGCAAACUCUAAUGACUUGACUUCGUUAGUCACUUCAA